This 3982-nucleotide long non-coding RNA is filed under the name Zostera marina. RNAcentral describes it as "long non-coding RNA (ZMAR_LNC003407)". Lineage: Eukaryota; Viridiplantae; Streptophyta; Magnoliopsida; Alismatales; Zosteraceae. The record is from RNAcentral.
AUUGUGCUUGUUGGAGUAAUUGGACAGAUUCUGAUGGCCUGACGAUAAAUGGAACAAGCUUGUGGCGAUGACGGUACUGCAUGAACCCUUCAGUACCCAAAAUUUUUGUGAAUCCAUCUGCCAAUUGUUCGAUUGUUGGUACAUACUCAACUCUAAAAUAUUCCUUUAUUAAUUAGUUCUCGUACAAAAUAAUAGCUAAUCUCUAUGUGUCUGGAACGUGAAGUGAUUGCUGGAUUUUUAGCCAUGAAUAUGGCUGAUUUACUGUCACAUAGUAGUGUUGGGGGAAAACUUAAUUUUAUUUCCAAUUCUCUAAAGAGGUAGUAGAACCAUCUAACAUCUGAUGUUACAUGAGUCAUGGCCUUAAAUUCUGCCUCAGCACUCGAGUUUGAUACUGCCGGUUGCUUUUUAGCAGACCAAGAGAGUAAAUUGUUUCCAUACCAUAUGCUUGACCCUGUUAUUGACCUCCUAUCAGAUGAUCCUCCCCAGUCUGAAUCUGUAUAGGCAAUUAAAUCCAUUCUCUCGUUAAUUCCUUAGUAAUCUGUAGACCUAAAUUAGAAGUCCCUUGUAGGUAUCUCAGUAUUCUUCUUACUGCCAUUAAGUGGCCUUCUUUAGGAUUUUGUAAAAAUUGACAUACUUGAUUUCUGAUGAGUGAGAAGUAUUGUAAACUCUCCACCUUGCUUCUAUAGAUUGUAAUAUCAUCUAAUGGAUUUCCCAUGUCUUGAUGUAACUUUGUAGAUAGAAUCAUUGGUGUUCUAACUGGAUUAGAAUGCUUAUAGACAAACCUUUUUAAUACAUCCUUUGCAUAUUUUUCUUGUCAUAGUACUAUAUUCUCUUCUUGAUAGAUACACUGAAUUCCCAAGAAAAAACUUAAUUUUCCCAUGUCUCUACAUUUGAAUGUUUGACAUAGUUUCUUCACCACUUCAUCUAUUUCUUCUUCAUUUGUUCCUGUGAUGACAAUGUCAUCCACAUACACCAAUAUUAACAGUUUGUGAUCACCCUUUACUUUGUAAAACAAUGAUGCAUCAGCAUUGGAAUUUGUAAAUUUAUUGGAAAUUCACUCCUUCUUGGUUAUACCCUUGAGCUACUAGUCUAGCUUUACAUCUUUCCACACUUCCAUCAUGCUUCCUUUUUACUUUAUAUAUCCAUUUAGAUCCUAUGACAUUCAUAAAUUCUUCUUUUGGUACCAAUACCCAUGUAUCGUAUUCUCUUAUUGCUUUCAUCUCUUCCUCCAUUGCCUCUUUCCAGCAUUUCUGUUUAUUAGCCCGUGAGAAACAAUUUGGCUCCACAAUAUCAUCAGUAAUAGUUAUAUUAUUAUUGCAUUUAUCAGAAGUCAUAUCAAAGUUUUUAUAUAAUAUAUUUGGGAAUUUAAUCCAUUAUGAUCUUCUUAAGUCUAGAAGAGGGGAACUACUCUGACCUUGAGUGUCCAGAGUAGCGGAUGGAUUUAUACUUGGAUUAAAUUCCAAGUUAAUCCCAUUCUCAGUGUUUGGAUUAACAAUUACUGGGGCAGGUUCCAUAUUGUUAUUUGACCUAAUUACGCUUGACUCUAUGGAUGAAUUUUGAACUUCAGUUUGACUUGGUGGAUUUUGAGGAUGAGUUAUAUCUCUGUUAAAAAGUGAAUCAGAAGGUUAGGUGUUUUCAAUCUGUUAAUUAAGUAUGCAGCAGAUGAGAAUACCUCCUGCCAGUAUUCUUGAGGAAUGCCUGCUUUUUUCAUUAAGCAUCUUUCAACUUCAAUUAUUUGUUUGUCUCCUUUCCACUAAUCCAUGUUGUUGUGCUGUAUAAGUGCAUGAUAAUUUAUGGUUUAUCCCUUGUUCUUCUAAAUAUCUUUUAAAUUUAGAAUUUAGAAAUUUCUUUAAUUUUCAUCCCCAAAUAAUUUUCUAUUAAUUUGUGAAAUUUAGUAAAAAUAGAGAAAAAUUCAGAUUUAUUGCUCAUUGGAUAAAACCAUAUAAACCUUGUAUAUUCAUCAACUAUUGAUACAUAAAAUCUAAAGUUUGCAACAGAUGUUGUAGGUGAUGGUCCCCACAGAUCUAUAUGUAGAGUUCUUAAGGGUGUGGAAGCUCUUAUUUCUCUUCUAUUGAACGGUUGUUGAUGUGCUUUCCCCAGGGGAAAGACUUGACAAAACUUCAUUUUGUUUCCCUGUUUAUCCUGAAUUUGUAAUUCUGGUUCAGUUUUCUUCAACACAGCUUCUGAUGGAUGCCCUAAUCUGUCAUGUCAUCUAUCCUUUGUAGUCUUUAUACCAUAGAAAGCUUUGUCAUCUAGAUAGAUGUAAUAGAGGCCUUCUGAGCUACUGCCAGAAAAUAGUAUCUCCAUAGUGACCUGGUCCUUGAUAAAAAAAAAUUUAUCAUUAAAAUGAUUAAGAAAUUUAAGUUUCUAGAUAACUUUUGAAUAGACAUAAGGUUCUUCUUUAACCCGGGUACACACAAAACUCCUUCUAAAUUGUAAUCUUUUCCUUUAAAUUUCAAUGUUACUCUAACUCUAUAUUUAACAUGUAAGUAAUCUCCACUCCCAACUAUUACAUAUUGUGUACCUGGAGCUGUUUCAUAGGCUGUGAAGGCAGUUAGGUCUGGUGUCAUAUGACUGGAUGCUCCUGAAUCAAGGCACCAUGCUGAAUCAUCCAAUGUAGUGGUUGCUGAUAUUGCCAUUUCAGAAGAUGGAAUCUGUUGGUAAUUCUCUGUAUAUGCUGGAAUUGUUGGUUGUUGGAUUGCUGCAUAGGCUGGAUAUGUAUAUUCUGUUGUGUAUGCUGGUGCUGGUGGAGGUAAGUGUGGUGGUAUAUUAGUUGUACUAGUAUUCAGUGCUGAGAAAUUAUUGUAAUCUGGGCACUGUUUAGCUAGGUGACCUUUCUUGUCACAUAUCUGGCAACUUUGUGAUUGAUCAAUGGAAGAAGGUGUUUUGAGUAUUGGUGGUAAUUGAGGCUUUUGUUGUUAUUGUGGUGGUGGUGGUGGUAUCAUGUUAGCUCUUGGGUAUUGGUGAUAAUUUUGUUGUUGUUGAUUAGAGUAAAAUGGUCUGUAAUUAGGGUGUGAAUUGUAGUUUGGUCUAUAGUUGUAAUUUGGUCUGUAGUUAUAGUUUGGUUGAUAAUUUUGAGGUGCUGAAUGGUAAUUUGGAUUGUGGUAGUAAUUGGGAUUGGGAUUAUAGUUAUAAUUGUAGUUUGUGUUGUUCCCCCUAUAGUUGGGUGAAUAACCUCUAGUUAGGAUUGUUUCCUCUAUAGUUAGGACUGUGGCCUCUAUAUCCUGUAUUUGCAACCAUAGCCACUGUGACUUUGGAUUGGCUGUCCUCUAUUCUUUUUAUCAACAAUUCUUCACCAAGCAGCAUAUCUGCUAAUUCAUCAAAUGUAGGCACUUGUGCUCUAUUUCUUAUUGUUGUCAGUAAACAUCUAUACUCAAACCACAAGCCACCUAAUAUGUAAUCCCUCAAGCAAUUAUUAUUUAAAGUUUCUCUUGUAGCAUCUAGGGAUUCGACCAGUCCCUUUACCCUCACAAUGUAUUCUUGCAUUGUUUCUGUGGUGACUUUCUUCAAUGCCCUUAACUGUUCUUUUAUCACGGUUACUUGAGCGUUACUAGUUGGUGAUAGUAAUUUUUCCAAACUUGUCCACCCAUCAUAUGCAAACUUACAUUUUAGCUUUGACUAUAAAGAAAGUAGAAAAAUAGUCUCAGACUAUAAAGAAAGUUAACGAACCCAUGUUAGCUUUGACGACUCCAGACAGGGUCACCAGCCUAUAAAGUGUGUCAACGACCCCAAGAAGAGUCAUUGAACCCAUGGCAAGUUUGAAGACUCCAACUAGGGUCUCUGACCUAAAAUAGAUUCGAUGACUCUAGGGACAUUCAUCAAACCAUGUGGUAACCGCCCACUAAGUCGAAAGUUUCCAAAGCCUUACCUAUAAAUGCAUGUUGUUAUUGUGAAAAAUUGAAUUUAUAAGGUGUUUACGUAAUUCAUUUCAUACUAAGGAUGAAUGAAAGCAACUAAUUCAAUAAUCUGAAUUUUAUUACAG